UUCAGAGCAGCCUCCAAACCCUGAAGGGAACUCAACUGCACAGAAUCACCUCUGCCUCACAUAAACCCUAAAGAUUGUUUUGUAAACCUCAUGGGUGCAACUCAAUUUCAAUCAAGCUCUCCAAUCAGGUUUACCUUUAUUCCCAUUACCUUUUGCUUUGAAGUUGAAUACUCUGAAUGUUUGAGGUAUGAUGAAUGAAUUUCAUUAGGUUUUUGCCCACG
RNAcentral lists this long non-coding RNA (221 nucleotides) under Lathyrus oleraceus (garden pea). Its description in RNAcentral is "Pisum sativum (pea) long non-coding RNA (PSAT_LNC027179)". Lineage: Eukaryota; Viridiplantae; Streptophyta; Magnoliopsida; Fabales; Fabaceae. The record is from RNAcentral.